This 6289-nucleotide small RNA is filed under the name Rattus norvegicus (Norway rat). RNAcentral describes it as "uncharacterized LOC102555378". The record is from RNAcentral. Lineage: Eukaryota; Metazoa; Chordata; Mammalia; Rodentia; Muridae.
CCUUGUCUUGAAAAGUAUGUUGGAGGCCCUACUCUGGCAACUUUAGUGUCUUCCGUGUCUCUUGCUACACUUGAGUUGUACACAACACCCGCUGCACCAAAUUGAGUUAUCUCAUGCCUUCAGAACGCAUGCUUCAAAACUGCCCAGGUCUGUAUGUGCCCGUUCUUCAGGUUCGUCUCUGAUACUUUGUAUCGCUGCCCAGUAUCUCCCAUCAAAGGCACUACCACAGUGACUAGUCUGACCUCCAGGGCCACGGCUUCUACAGCCACAGGCUCAGUGACCCACAGUGCUGGAGAUUGAACCCAUGUAUAUGCAAAGCAUUAUUGACUACCGAGCUAAGCACCAGCCUAUCUAGAGAGGACUGUGAAUGUUUUCAACACAAAGAAACAAUGAGAUUAAAACCCAAGCUCCUUAAUGCAGUAUCCGAGGCCCUUCAUUAUCUGGCUCCUGUCCACCUUCCAGCCUUUCUCACCACUUCCUUCCCUGACUCAGCCGAGAGCUUACAGACAAAGGCCAUGGACUAAUAGAAGUCUUGACUGUGCUCAGACCUUCCCUACCCCACGAGAAAUGUGGGAGUGCCACAUGCUACCAGAGGUGGUGAGAUCCAUUCCAGGGUUCAUAGUCGUGUAAAUAUAAGAAUGCAAGAACUGACUCAGAAGAAAGCCUGAGGAGAGUUUUAUUAGAGUUUAAAAGAAAAACCUGGAGGCUGACAAGCAUCAGUUUCAGCUGUCUAGAGGAGGAACAUGAAGAGAAAGAGAAAACUAUGCAAUUUGAAUUAGCAAUGAAAUUAUUAGUAAUGAAUCUGUAAUGGAGGUCAAGCCACAUGGCAGUCAGAAGACACCUGACAAAAGACGGUGGGAAGCUUCAGAGACAAAGUAAGGAAGCCUCCAGUGUCAUGCUUAGGAAAAGAAAAAAAGAAAAACUACAGGUCUCAGAGUAAGUGCUUAGAAAAGCAGAUAUGCUUAACAGGGCCAUGGCUCCAUAGGCAAUAUACCAGGUACAGGAUUUCUGAGAAUGGAAAGUAAUUAUCUCAAACCUAGCAAACAAAAGCACCUAUCUCAUUAAAAGGAUGAUUAUUCUUCCCAUCACUUAAGCUUUCAAAUUAGGUGAAUCGAUCUCCCCAAGGAAUGGUCCCUUAAUCCAGUGGUUGACUAAUCCAACUGGAUUAACCUUUAUAUUUGGGGUAGCUGGGGAUGUGUGGAGCACCCCACACACAACUCCAGGUAACCUUUCAUGAUUUAUACCCCUAACAUCUCACAUAAUCAGGGCUACUUGCAGUUAAGUGCAGAAUUCAGAGAGGAUCAGGAGGAAGUGAACAAAAUCCCAGGUGAGGGUUCAGUAAUCUUCCCUAUGCCUUUCUAUGUGGAAGGAUCAACAGCCAACCCCUAGGUCGGUUACCAGUGGUCAAGCUGUUCUGACAAAGUCUGCUGUUGUCGUGAAGACACUGUUCAACAGUAAAGGUCAGCCUCCCUGGUCACCUGCAACAAAGGCCAGCCUCCCUGGUCACCUGCAACAAAGGCCAGCCUCCCUGGUCACCUGCAACAAAGGCCAGCCUCCCUGGUCACCUGCAACAAAGGCCACCCUCCCUGGUCACCUGCAACAAAGGCCAGCCUCUCUGGUCACCUGCAACAAAGGCCAGCCUCCCUGGUCACCUGCAACAAAGGCCAGCCUCCCUGGUCACCUGCAACAAAGGCCAUCCUCACUGGUUACCUGCAACAAAGGCCAGCCUCCCUGGUCACCUGCAACAAAGGCCAGCCUCCCUGGUCACCUGCAGCAAAGGCCAGCCUCCCUGGUCACCUGCAACAAAGGCCACCCUCACUGGUCACCUGCAACAAAGGCCAGCCUCCCUGGUCACCUGCAACAAAGGUCACCCUCCCUAGUCAGGCUGGUUGGCUAACGGCUUCAUGAUAUUCUUUCACAUCUAAAGAGCCUUUUAUAUGUCCUGCUGUGUAGUCUAGAGCUCCUUGUGCAUGAGAUGAUACAGGUAGAAAUGAAGCUGCAGAAGAAAGGUAUUUUCUCCUUGGAGACUCCCUGGAAGUCAAUGCAAACAAGACUAAGUGUUGAACUUACCAUGGUGACCGAAGUUUAAUAUCAGGUGUGACCUUUCCACUCCCAAAGUCCUUAUUCAGCCAGAAGUCUGAGGGUGAUGUACUGCAGCAAGGUUUACCUGACUCUAGAGUAUCUUUACAAAGGGACUGUUUUGGUCUCCUUUCUGAUGCUAUGAUAAACCUGAAUAAAAUACCUCGAGGAGAAAAGGGAUUACUUGGUUUAUACUUCAGUUAACAGUCUAUCAUCCAGGGCAGGAGCUCAGGGACUCUGGAGGCAUGAACUGAAACAGUGGCCAUGAAGGAAUGUUGCUGAUUUGUUUCCAGGCUACCCUUCUUAUACCUCCAAGGAGCACCUGCCUAGGAAUGUCACCACCCAUGGUGGGCUAGGCCUUCCCAUAUCAAUCAAUAAUUUAAAAAAGACAGCCCAUAGGCAUACCAAUAACCCAUCUGGUGGAGGUAUUUCCUCAAUUGAGUUUCCCUCUCAAUUCCUUCUGGGUGACUCUAGUUUGUGUCAAGUUGACAAAAGCCAGUCACUAAGGGACUGAUCCUCAGAAGGAGACUUGUGCUGAUGGGAUAAUUAAAACUUGAUUUGGGUGGUGUUUAUAUGAAUCUGUACAUGAGAUAUAGUUGUGUAGAGCUGUAUGUACACAUGAACAUGUAAUUGCAUCUGUGAUGAAAUGUGAAUGAGCCUGGUACUCUGUAUUAACACCAAGGUACUGUAGUUACGAAGGUGCUCAUGUGUGGGGAGACUGGAUGAUGGGUGCUUGAGAAUCUUACUAUUUCUUCACAAAUUCCUGUGAAAGUAUGAUCAUUUCAAUAUGAAUGUUUAAAGUGAAGGCAGAGGAAGCUCAAAGUAUCAGAACUCUUAGUCUCCAACAAUACACUGUGACCGACUUUAAGCUACAAGAUCUUAUACAGAAACAGUGAGGUCAACAGUACUCUUGAAGAGAAGGAUGAAGCAGAUUACCUCAGUUGCUACAGAGGCUGAGGUUCUCAGUCACUACAACGGGAGGAAUGCUCUCUUAGCAUCAAAGUCCGUGUCCAGUCCUUUUCUUGAAAACCAGGUAGCCAAGCAGUUGAGUUACGGUAAAACUUAGCUAUAGUUCUUAAAGUUCAGAAAACACUGACUUAGAACACUGCCAUUCCUCACCCACGUUAACCUCAGCCAGUGUCACUAACUGCCACUUACUGCUGUUAUUUCAAUAUGUAGUGGAUAUUUAAUGUGCAUCAAUUCAUGCUUCUGGGUGCUUGAACUGUGUCCAGAAACAAAAUAAAGGACACUGUCAUGUGGUGGGCUUCAUACAUAGUAUGGGAAAGAGGCAGAAGGAGAAUAUGAAUUAUAUUUCAUACCAGUAAGAAGACAUGGGGCUAAGGAAGGAGUUCCAAGAACUCAGGAGAUGUCACUGUGUGGAACAAGACUCUUGCUUGUAUCUGUGAGCUUGAUGUCACAUUACCCCAGCAUUUCUUUCUGUGUCCUCAUCACUGUCUUCUUCUGUCUGCCCUUUAGCUUCUCCCUUUGUGUAUGCCUCUUGGCUCUCUAUCACAUCUCUUCAUCAGUGCCACUCUCUCUGUCACUUUCUAACCAUCUCUUUGUUUCCACUGACUUUCUCCCCUAACUAUAGCUCUUUCUGCCUCUCCCAUUCUUUCUAGACACAUCAUUAUCCUUAUGCAGUGCGCCGGUAUAAUUAAACUAAAAGUACCUGAGAUUCUAGUAUUCAUAUAUUUUUUGUAUAAGCGUGUCCUGGUCUACCUGAAACUUGCCUGACACAGAUGCAGAAUAAUUUUAAUUUUAUUAACUGUCGUCUUGGAGACCUAAAUCCCCAAUAGAACAUCCCAUAUUUCUGAAACAUGGACAUAAGAAUGUCCAUAGUACAGCACUCUUCAUGAAAACUAAGCCACAAACAACACAGGUAAUCAAGACCCGUGGAGUGGCUUAAUAGCUGAAGAGUAGAGCACUACACAGCAGGAGAGCCAGUGAAAGGCGGGCGAUGCAGACACAGAUGAAUCCUCGGGUCUCCAACAACCAAGACAGUACAAAAGGUAAAGGGAAGAUGAGAUAUUUAUGUAUAUUUAUUGCAGUCCAAAUAGAACAGGUUUUAGCAUGUAUGGUGAUACAUAACCAUAAUCUCAGCACCCAAGAGAGUGAGAUGGGAGAAUCUCUAAUUCCAGAACAGCCUUGGCUACCAAGCCCAGGUCUCAAAAAAAUAAUAAAACAGGUUUUAGAAAUUAAGACAAUUGUCACUCUAGUGGCAAUGGCUAUAUUAUGGGAAGGUUUCUGGGAGCAGGGUAUGCUUGUGUGUUAAUAUAGGUAUAAACUAACUGGGAUGUACUCGUUUUGUGAAAUUUCUCCAAGAUAGAAUUUGGAGAGAGAGAGAGAGAGAGGGAGAGAGGGCAUAUGUGUGCAUGUGUAUAUGUGCACAUGCACUCGAGUGGUACUGGGUUGAAAAGUUUGUUUAAAAUAGUGAAAGCUAUUGUAUAAAAUAAUAAUAAUAAUCUGGCAGUGAUUUGGGUGAAAAGAGGGAGAGCUCAGGUUUCUGAGGAACAUUGCACACUGCACUGAUUAGGUACAGCAUGAAAUAACAGGACAGGGAGACAGGAGAGGACAGCAAAAAUGAUGGUGACAGUGGCCAAUUAGGAAGGAGGACUUGGGGUAGCGUAGAAGGUAACAUGGGGUCAGAUUUAGUAACGCACACCUGUGCCCUCUGUACUGAGGAGCCGAGACUGGCCUGGACAAAGCAAGACCCAGUCUUGAAGAAAACACCAAAACCAAAACAAAGGAUAACUUUACAUUUAUUAAAUAACACAUACAAGUAUUUCCAACUUUACAUCUCUUGGUUUUGUUUCAUUUGUAUUGAAUUUUAUAUGCAAUACUGGAAUCAUCCUGUAUGUUAGAAAUAUAACAAAGGACAACUUUAAUUUCAAGUCAAUUUUUUAUAGAUAAUACACACUAUACAACAUGCUUCAUAAAAUUCGUGAGAGCAUUCCUAGACUGUGUGCUGUGACACAGUCUUCUAUAGUCACUGGGACCAAGACUUUACAAGACUCCAGCUUUAUUGUAACAUGGAACUUUGGUAUUUUCUUCAAAGAAAAAAAAUCUGUACUUGACUCUUUUGAACAGAGGUAGUCUUCUGUUUCCUGCAAGACUGUUAUGACAUAGUCUUUAGAGAUGCGAUUGUUACUGUUACAAGUAAGUAUCCCAUAAGGGUGAGAUGAUUGUGGGCCUGCUAUAGGAGAUCAGCUGCGGCCCAGGUGUGGUGGCUAUCAUCUUCCUUCAGAAGUUGACACCUAGUUUCUCACUAUUUAAGAACAAAGCAAGAGUAGAAUAGAACAUUAUGCCUUGGGAUACCAAGCCCAUUUAAGAGUGGUCAGAGGGGGUUGGGGAUUUCGCUCAGUGGUAGAGCGCUUGCCUAGUAAAUGCAAGGCCCUGGGUUCGGUCCCCAGCUCCGAAAAAAAGAAAAAGAAAAAGGAAAAAAAAAAGAGUGGUCAGAGUGCCCUAUGGCUCUCAAGCUGAACAUCUCAGCUAAGGCUGAACACACAAAGUACAGUAUAAACUCCGUCUCUAGACAGAUGACCAAAAUCUAUAUAUUACGUGGAUACCUAGAAAUUGUUGGUACUCAGAAAACGUUAAGUUAAAAAAAAGCUAAAGAAAUAUUCUGGCUUAAAAUGUAUAUUUAUUUAAUAUAUACAUCCAAUAUGUAUAUUUCAAACUAAUUUUUAAAUUUUUGCAUUGAUUGCAUUCAGAAUGCCUUAUCUUUAAAAGCUCACGUUCAACAUACACUACUAUGGAUAAUUUACUUUUUAGGUUGUGUUUCAAGGGGUUAGAAUUCCAUUUCUGACUGUUUUCUUUGAGUGCAGUUAAAUAGUUAGGGAAAGGCUCAUCACUGUGAUUUUCUGUCAAAGAGGAUUUGGUCAAAAUUGUCUCUGAGUUAGUUUUUUUAAAAAUAUGGUCUCACUGAGUAGUCCAAAAGACUGAAUAUGAACUCUUGCUCCUUCUGCCUCAACCUCUCAAUGUCUAUGGUACAGGUGAGUAUCACCAGGCCUGGUUUUCAUGUCAGAUGUUAAGUAGAAGAGAGCUUAUCCACCAUUAUACAGGGAACACUUAGAUAUAAAAAGAUGAGCCAACCUGUGUUGCGGCAGGGUGAGAGAGGUACAGGCCUUUACUCACAGCACUAAUUAGAGACCAGCCUGGUCUACAGAGCAAAUUCCAGGAUAGCCAGGGCUACACAGAGAAACCCUGUCUU